CCCUGCCCGUGCUGUUUCACCGGGCGUUUCGACGGGCGUUUCUUCCCCCCAUCGGUCGCAUGUUCCGGUUCUCGCAGCAACACCGCCAGAAAGAAGAC
Molecule: non-coding RNA, 98 nt
Filed under: Palpitomonas bilix
Lineage: Eukaryota
Source: RNAcentral